Gossypium hirsutum (cotton) is the source of this 119-nucleotide non-coding RNA. Lineage: Eukaryota; Viridiplantae; Streptophyta; Magnoliopsida; Malvales; Malvaceae. The record is from Rfam.
GGGUGAAAUCAUACCAGCACUAAUGCAACGAAUCUCAUCAGAACUCCGCAAUUAAGCGUGCUUGGGUGAGAGUAGUACUAGGACGAGUGACCUCCUGGGAAGUCCUCAUGUUGCAACCC